RNAcentral lists this ribosomal RNA (494 nucleotides) under uncultured bacterium. RNAcentral's name for it is "partial 16S ribosomal RNA". It matches the Rfam family "Bacterial small subunit ribosomal RNA", at positions 28 to 507 of the family's 1533-position model. The record is from RNAcentral.
GACGAACGCUGGCGGCGUGCUUAACACAUGCAAGUCGAACGGUGAAGCGCCUUCCUUUUUGGUGGGUGUGGAUGAGUGGCGAACGGGUGAGUAACACGUGAGUAACCUGCCCCCUUCUUCUGGAUAACCGCAUGAAAGUGUGGCUAAUACGGGAUAUUCUGGGUCUGUCGCAUGAUGGGUCUGGGAAAGAUAUUGUUUCGGUGGGGGAUGGGCUCGCGGCCUAUCAGCUUGUUGGUGGGGUGAUGGCCUACCAAGGCGGUGACGGGUAGCUGGCCUGAGAGGGUGGACGGUCACACUGGGACUGAGACACGGCCCAGACUCCUACGGGAGGCAGCAGUGGGGAAUAUUGCACAAUGGGCGCAAGCCUGAUGCAGCGACGCCGCGUGAGGGAUGGAGGCCUGCGGGUUGUGAACCUCUUUCGCCAGUGAAGCAGGCCUGCCUCGUUUGUGGGUGGGUUGACGGUAGCUGGAGAAGAAGCGCCGGCUAACUACGUG